Molecule: transfer RNA, 73 nt
Filed under: Candidatus Woesearchaeota archaeon
Lineage: Archaea; Nanobdellati; Candidatus Woesearchaeota
Description: tRNA-Pro
Rfam family: tRNA
About the family: Transfer RNA (tRNA) molecules are approximately 80 nucleotides in length. Their secondary structure includes four short double-helical elements and three loops (D, anti-codon, and T loops). Further hydrogen bonds mediate the characteristic L-shaped molecular structure. tRNAs have two regions of fundamental functional importance: the anti-codon, which is responsible for specific mRNA codon recognition, and the 3' end, to which the tRNAs corresponding amino acid is attached (by aminoacyl-tRNA synthetases). tRNAs cope with the degeneracy of the genetic code in two manners: having more than one tRNA (with a specific anti-codon) for a particular amino acid; and 'wobble' base-pairing, i.e. permitting non-standard base-pairing at the 3rd anti-codon position.
Source: RNAcentral
GGGACCGUAGUGUAGCUUGGUAUCACAUCAGGUUCGGGGCCUGGUAACCGGAGUUCGAAUCUCCGCGGUCCCG